RNAcentral lists this long non-coding RNA (231 nucleotides) under Gallus gallus (chicken). Lineage: Eukaryota; Metazoa; Chordata; Aves; Galliformes; Phasianidae. The record is from RNAcentral.
CGGUGUACCACUCACCUUCUGCUCUGAUUUCCUGGUGUCUCCUGGCAGCCGGCGCUUCAGCUCGUCAUGAAGUUCACCACUGAGGGAUCCGUGCUACUGAGGAGGAUUCAAACAACGCACGUAUCAGGGCAACACGUUGGUUAUCUCUGAGGAGCGACCUGCCUGUGAGCGAUGAGUCAAAGCAGAGCGCGCUCCAUCCGCUGACUGCAGCGCAGUGCCGCCGGCCGUGCG